Long non-coding RNA from Dermacentor silvarum, 247 nucleotides. RefSeq lists it as uncharacterized. The transcript has 3 exons. The record is from RefSeq and is a predicted model, not a curated record. Lineage: Eukaryota; Metazoa; Arthropoda; Arachnida; Ixodida; Ixodidae.
UCAGUGGGCUACAGCCAGAAGGAUUCUGUGGCAAGACAAAACGAACACCUCCAGUCCGUCCACCACCACCUAAUCAGAGCAAUCGUCUGAGAAGAUCUUUGAGCAAGACACAGACCAAUCGAGGAACUCGACCGAUACCUCCACCCCGUCCACCACCCCCUAAUCUUGGAGCACGUCUGAAUGCUCCUCAGACGGGUCGAAGAAAGUAGGAAAGGGAAAUGGUGCACUUCAAGUUUCGUGUUUUGAA